RNAcentral lists this ribosomal RNA (291 nucleotides) under uncultured bacterium. Its description in RNAcentral is "partial 16S ribosomal RNA". It matches the Rfam family "Bacterial small subunit ribosomal RNA", at positions 505 to 796 of the family's 1533-position model. The record is from RNAcentral.
GUGCCAGCAGCCGCGGUAAUACGUAGGGGGCAAGCGUUGUCCGGAAUUAUUGGGCGUAAAGCGCGCGCAGGCGGUUAUUUAAGUCUGAUGUUUAAUCCACGGGCUCAACCCGUGUUCGCAUCGGAAACUGGGUGACUGGAGUGUAGGAGAGGAAAGUGGAAUUCCACGUGUAGCGGUGAAAUGCGUAGAGAUGUGGAGGAACACCAGUGGCGAAGGCGACUUUCUGGCCUAUAACUGACGCUGAGGCGCGAAAGCGUGGGGAGCAAACAGGAUUAGAUACCCUGGUAGUCC